Regulatory RNA element from Rothia mucilaginosa DY-18, 113 nucleotides. It matches the Rfam family "SAM (S-adenosyl methionine) riboswitch aptamer". Rfam says of the family: SAM-IV is a mRNA element that regulates gene expression via direct sensing of S-adenosylmethionine (SAM or AdoMet). SAM-IV riboswitches share conserved nucleotide positions with the previously described SAM-I riboswitches sequence analysis and molecular recognition experiments suggest that SAM-I and SAM-IV riboswitches share similar ligand binding sites, but have different scaffolds. NCBI's taxonomy places the organism in Bacteria, Bacillati, Actinomycetota, Actinomycetes, Micrococcales, Micrococcaceae. The record is from Rfam.
GGUCAAGAGCGCCAGCGAUAAGCCCCAGCUAGCUGGCCGGCAACCCUCCUCCGCGGUGGGGUGCCCUGGGUGAAGACCAGGCGGCACGCAAAAGCGUGACGCAAGCGCGGGAC